RNAcentral lists this ribosomal RNA (497 nucleotides) under uncultured bacterium. Its description in RNAcentral is "partial 16S ribosomal RNA". It matches the Rfam family "Bacterial small subunit ribosomal RNA", at positions 28 to 507 of the family's 1533-position model. The record is from RNAcentral.
GAUGAACGCUGGCGGCGUGCCUAAUACAUGCAAGUCGGACGGAAGGACGAGUAGCUUUCUUCUCUGAUGUUAACGGCGGACGGGAGAGUAACAAGUGGAUAACCUGCCUAUAAGACUGGGAUAACAACGGGAACCCGUAGCUCAUACCGGAUAAUAUUUUAAACGGCGUGGUUCAAAAGUGAAAGACGGUCUUGCUGUCUCUUAUAGAUGGAUCCGCGCUGCAUUAGCUAGUUGGUAAGGUAACGGCUUACCAAGGCAACGAUGCAUAGCCGACCUGAGAGGGUGAUCGGCCACACUGGAACUGAGACACGGUCCAGACUCCUACGGGAGGCAGCAGUAGGGAAUCUUCGGCAAUGGGCGAAAGCCUGACGGAGCAACGCCGCGUGAGUGAUGAAGGCCUUCGGAUCGUAAAACGCUGUUAGUAGGGAAGAACAGAUGUGUAAGUAUCUGUGCAGAUCUUGACGGUACCUAAAGAGAAAGCAACGGCUAACUACGUG